RNAcentral lists this small RNA (121 nucleotides) under Neobacillus jeddahensis. RNAcentral describes it as "Ribosomal protein L10 leader". It matches the Rfam family "Ribosomal protein L10 leader", at positions 3 to 115 of the family's 138-position model. From Rfam's summary of the family: This family is a putative r-protein leader autoregulatory structure found in B. subtilis and other low-GC Gram-positive bacteria. Lineage: Bacteria; Bacillati; Bacillota; Bacilli; Caryophanales; Bacillaceae. The record is from RNAcentral.
AUAAUAAACAUUUGUACUGUAGACAGCAGGUGCGUUUUUCGCUUAAUAUCCUGCCGAGGUGUAGCGAAUAGAUUCGGCUGAUCGUUUCAGCUGUUAUAUGCUGCCUCCAUGUCUGAUUUGA